CGGCAGGCCUAAUACAUGCAAGUCGAGGGGUAGAGUUGGAGCAAUCUGACUUGAGACCGGCGCACGGGUGCGUAACACGUAUGCAACCUACCUUUUACUGGGGUAUAGCUCAGAGAAAUCUGAAUUAAUCCCCCAUAACAACAGAUGAUGGCAUCAUUAACUGUUUAAAGCUGAGGCGGUAAAAGAUGGGCAUGCGGUGUAUUAGCUAGUUGGUGAGGUAAUGGCUCACCAAGGCUACGAUACAUAGGGGUUCUGAGAGGAUGAUCCCCCACACUGGUACUGAGACACGGACCAGACUCCUACGGGAGGCAGCAGUAGGGAAUAUUGGUCAAUGGACGCAAGCCUGAUCCAGCCAUGCCGCGUGCAGGAUGACUGCCCUAUGGGUUGUAAACUGCUUUUAUAUGGGAAGAAUAGCAUAGAUUCAUCUGUGUAUGACGGUACCAUAUGAAUAAGCACCGGCUAACUCCGUG
RNAcentral lists this ribosomal RNA (470 nucleotides) under uncultured bacterium. RNAcentral describes it as "bacterial SSU rRNA". It matches the Rfam family "Bacterial small subunit ribosomal RNA", at positions 40 to 507 of the family's 1533-position model. The record is from RNAcentral.